This is a long non-coding RNA of Neogale vison (American mink), 291 nucleotides long. RefSeq lists it as uncharacterized. Lineage: Eukaryota; Metazoa; Chordata; Mammalia; Carnivora; Mustelidae. The record is from RefSeq and is a predicted model, not a curated record. The transcript has 3 exons.
CAUCGGCUUCGAACCCUAACAUCUCUCCUACAUCAUAGCCCAUGCAUAUAAUCCUUUUUGAGGAAGAAAGUGGAUUGUGCAAGCCUCUGACAGGUGUGGAUCUUCCAAGCAAUAUUUUGGAGUUAAAGAUUCCUUCACUUCCAGCUGAUAGAUGAUCCCUUCUACUCAAGAAGUUUCAUAUACGUCGUCUGUGUUGGAUUCAGCUGUCUUCCCCUUUCAUAACUCCCCUAUAUGUUCCCCAUCUAACCAAUAUUGACCAUAUGUAGGGACCUCUCUACACCCCUAUUCAGC